CCCGCGUCUGAUUAGCUAGUUGGUAAGGUAAUGCUUACCAAGGCGACGAUCAGUAGCCGACCUGAGAGGGUGAUCGGCCACACUGGAACUGAGACACGGUCCAGACUCUACGGGAGGCAGCAGUGGGGAAUAUUGCACAAUGGGCGAAAGCCUGAUGCAGCAACGCCGCGUGAGCGAUGAAGGCUUCGGGUCGUAAAGCUCUGUCCUAAGGGAAGAAUAAUGACGGUACCUUAGGAGGAAGCCCCGGCUAAUACGUGCCAGCAGCCGCGGUAAUACGUAGGGGGCGAGCGUUAUCCGGAAUCAUUGGGCGUAAAGGGUGCGUAGGCGGUUAUGCAAGUUAGGGGUGAAAGGCUACGGCUCAACCGUAGUAAGCCUUUAAAACUGCAUAACUUGAGUGCAGGAGAGGAGAGUGGAAUUCCUAGUGUAGCGGUGAAAUGCGUAGAUAUUAGGAGGAACACCAGUGGCGAAGGCGAMUCUCUGGACUGURACUGACGCUGAGGCACGAAAGCGUGGGGAGCGAACAGGAUUAGAUACCCUGGUAGUCCACGCSGUAAACGAUGAGUGNUAGGUGUCGGGGGUCGAACCUCGGUGC
RNAcentral lists this ribosomal RNA (592 nucleotides) under Alkaliphilus sp. G550IX. Its description in RNAcentral is "bacterial SSU rRNA". It matches the Rfam family "Bacterial small subunit ribosomal RNA", at positions 230 to 846 of the family's 1533-position model. Lineage: Bacteria; Bacillati; Bacillota; Clostridia; Peptostreptococcales; Natronincolaceae. The record is from RNAcentral.